RNAcentral lists this long non-coding RNA (981 nucleotides) under Equus caballus (horse). RNAcentral describes it as "lncRNA (ENSECAG00000058850.1)". Lineage: Eukaryota; Metazoa; Chordata; Mammalia; Perissodactyla; Equidae. The record is from RNAcentral.
ACAAGCGUCCUGAUAAGAGAGAGACAAGAGGGUCAAAGUCAAAAAAAGGAGACCAUAUGACAAUGGAAGCAGAGGGAAGCAGAGUCAGAGAGAGAAGAUGCUAUGCUGUGGCUUGGAAGAUGGUGGAAGGAGCCACCAGCCAAAGACUGAGGGCAGCCACUAGAAGAUGGAAAAGGCAAGGAAUAGAUUCUUUCCUGAAACCUUCAGAAGAAAUGCAGCACUACUGACACCUUGAUUUUAGACUUCUGACCUCCAGCACUGAAGAUUAGCCCUGAGCUAACAUCUGCUGCCAAUCCUCCUCUUUUUGCUGAGGAAAACCGGCCCUAAGCUAACAUCUGUGCCCAUCUUCCUCUACUUUAUAUGUGGGAUGCCUGCCGCAGCAUGGCUUGCCAAGCAGUGCCAUGUCCACAUCCAGGAUCCCACGAACCCGGGCCGCCGAAGCAGAACAUGCGAACUUAAUCAUUGCGCCACCGGGCUGGCCCUUGGCCUCCCUUUCAAGACACAUUCUCUGCUAUAGCCUUACUACCAUAAUAUAGCUGACUAAAUGAUGGAGCUGGAUGGAGCUGAAUGGAGCUGAAGAACACAAGCAGAAUUGAUCCCAGGCAUUCCGAAGCCUGCCCUGGAGACUAACAAAACAAAACGAAACAAAAUAAGUGAAGGGGAAGGAGUGGAGGCUGGUGGAAGAAGUGGCAACAUUUAGACCUUAAUACUCAUGUGACCUCACUGCCUGGACUUGUGAAGCCUGAGGGUAUUUUAAUUUUAUAAGUAGUACGUAAUUUAAUAAGAAACAUACAGCAGGAUACACCCUUUGUACUACAACUACUGGAUUGCUUUGGCACAGCAAAAAUGCUCUGACACUUUACUUCAGAUUUAAUUCAAUUAAGAAACUGAGUUUCACACAGAAAGAAGGAGAGUUCCUAGCUGCUGGCGAAUCUAUUUAGUAGGUGAGUAAAGGAGAAAGGAUGAGCCUGCCUUGGGCAC